CUAUUUUGUACCAAUACAAUAUAUUAAUUUUACAAAUGUAAAAUUUUAUCCGCUGUUAAAGCAUUUGCAAAAACCACACAUCCUACUUCAGCUUUAUUGCACAAUAUCUAUAAGAUAGAAAUCUAGACGCCACUCAAGGUGGUUUCUUUAAACAGUUGAGGCAUUCUCAGUUGUGAGCAUUCUGAGUGUAUCUUACACAUUAAAAACCAUCCUUCCAACUCCACAGCCAUCUGCAGGGUUUUCUCCUUCAUGCAGAUUCUCUGGCAACUGUGUCCAAUGUCUAUCAAAUGAUCAUUUCAAUUAGUUUAUGCUGAUAGAAAACACUGAGUUAGAGACACCUUUAAAACCUAGUCCUUUUACAAAAAUCAGUUUAUAAAUUUGUAUCAUAAAAAUUAGUGUCGAGACCAUCAAGAUGGCCACCGUUUGCUUUAUAUGAGUUGGUUCUCCCAGAGCUGGGGUUGCAGACCUCCCACUGUCCAGUGUAGUGUUAAUCAGGAAAUAAAUCCCAGCACGAAGCCGGAAUCCCAAGACAGGUAAGGUGUAUGAUGGAUUUUAG
Molecule: long non-coding RNA, 556 nt
Filed under: Bos taurus (domestic cattle)
Lineage: Eukaryota; Metazoa; Chordata; Mammalia; Artiodactyla; Bovidae
Description: long non-coding RNA NONBTAT000364
Source: RNAcentral